CUUACCUUUGUCUCUCCACCACCCACCCCCGUCCGCUCGAGGAAGAGGACCCUCUUCUCCUCCCGUCCCGACCCGGAGCUCCUCCGCCGCCGCCGACGCCUGACGCGCGCCGCCGCUCCCCUUCCCGUCGCGUCCCUCCCUCCCUCCGCAAUCUCCUGAACCCCGGUUUUCGAGAUUUCAUCAUGCUUUCCUUGAGGUGUUGGGCGCCCGCAUUCGGUAUAGCGUUCGAGAGAGCCGUCGUUCUGCGCCCUCGAAAGUUCAACUCCUUAGUGGUUUGCGGUGCCAGGGGUCCGAGGCCGAGAUAUCCUCGCGUGUGGAAAACCGAUAAGAGAAUCGGAACCGUUUCCAAGUCGCAGAAGCUUGUCAAAUGUAUUAAGGGUUUGUCUAAUGUAAAGGAGGAGGUUUAUGGUGCUCUUGAUUCAUUCGUUGCAUGGGAACUGGAGUUUCCCUUGAUAGCAGUAAAGAAAGCACUGAAGACGCUUGAGGAUGAGAAGGAAUGGAAAAGAAUAAUUCAGGUUAUCAAGUGGAUGUUCAAUAAAGGUCAAGGGAAGACCAUGGGAAGCUAUCAAACUUUAUUAAACGCUUUAGUCGAGGAUGGACGAAUUGAGGAAGCAGAAGAGCUAUUUCAAAAGAUAUUCUCGAGAUAUAUGGAGGGAUUGCCACGUGUUUUUUUCAUGAAAAUAAUCUCCUUAUAUUACAGAUUGGGGUCAUAUGAGAAGAUGUUUGAGGUUUUUGCUGAUAUGGAAGAGCUGGGUGUUCGACCUGAUACCUCGAUUGUCAGGAUGCUCGGUGAUGUAUUUAUGAAGCUAGAGAUGCUGGACAAAUACGAAAAGUUAAAUAGGAAAUAUCCACCGCCAAAAUUUGAAUAUCGAUACAUCAAAGGCAAGCGCAUAAGGAUAAGGGUUUAUCCAGACGAUAGUACUGAAGAAGUAACAAAAAGAGACUCUGACAGAGAUGAACUGGAAGAUGCAGGAAGCAUGAAUCUUGACAAUGAAUUGAAAGAAGCGCCAAGAACAGUCCUGGACAUGAAUGUAUUAGGCAAUGCGGCUUCUGGAGACCAUAAAUUUGUAUAGCUCAGAACUUUAAUUUGGCGUUUUCAUGUCUGCUUCAUCAUAGCAGUUGUGCUGCAACUCUUUUCUAUAAUCUAGCAAUAUCAGGCCACUCUUGCCAUAUUUGGAAACAACAGUUGUCCAGCAAUUUGACUGAAGAUGUCCAGCUGUUCAGUAAAUGAUAUGGAUACAGUUGUUGAUGUCUUUGUUGUGUCGUAUUCAUCAAGAGUUGUGCAUUGGUGCGGGAGAGAAGCAGCUCAUUCUGGAUACAUUGCAAGUUUUCACCAUGUCCUGAGACGGAUGGACUUACAAUCCUGACUACGAUCACACGAGAUGCUUUGGAGUGGAUGAGGAUCAAGAGGUAGCGGAAUUCAAAGGCACACACCGGAGCAGGUGGUCAUAUGGGUGCAAAAGUCAUGGAUGUCAAUUAUUGAGUUGUAAAAAUUUAUAUUGAUGAGAAGAGGUGAUAUGACCAGACCUGUGCCAAUGCAUGGGGAAUUUCUCCGUACAGUGCCCUUUUAUAGCGGCGCCUUUCAUUCCGGGUUUGCAGCGACAAUCAUAGCCUCCCACCCUAUUGCUGCAGAUCCCGUCAUCAUAGCAAGGAUACAAGAGUCUGAGCUCAUGACUCUGUUUUCGCAACUUGCACUCGUCGACGUCUGGAGAGAAAAAAAACGAGAAUUAGUCGGGGAGUUAAAAUGAAGGGCAUGUUUGUAGGCCAAAAAAAAAGGAUGAUGUUAAAAAUCUGACAUCAAUUUUUAACAAUGACAAAUCGAGCGUUUUUUUAUGGAAAAUUUAGUUGUCGCGAGGAUGACAAUAUGAUUUGCCAUGCUUGCUAAAGGGAAUUAUUG
RNAcentral lists this ribosomal RNA (1897 nucleotides) under Triticum aestivum (bread wheat). Its description in RNAcentral is "partial small subunit ribosomal RNA". Lineage: Eukaryota; Viridiplantae; Streptophyta; Magnoliopsida; Poales; Poaceae. The record is from RNAcentral.